RNAcentral lists this ribosomal RNA (604 nucleotides) under Gautieria sp. OSC122685. Its description in RNAcentral is "eukaryotic LSU rRNA". It matches the Rfam family "Eukaryotic large subunit ribosomal RNA", at positions 72 to 658 of the family's 3401-position model. Lineage: Eukaryota; Fungi; Basidiomycota; Agaricomycetes; Gomphales; Gomphaceae. The record is from RNAcentral.
GGAUUCCCCUAGUAACGGCGAGUGAAGCGGGAUGAGCUCAAAUUUGUAAUCUGGCGGCCUCUGGCCGUCCGAGUUGUAGUCUGGAGAAGCGUCUUCCGCGUCGGACCGUGUACAAGUCCCUUGGAACAGGGUGUCGUAGAGGGUGAGAAUCCCGUCUUUGACAUGGACUCCCGAUGCUUUGUGAUGCGCUCUCGAAGAGUCGAGUUGUUUGGGAAUGCAGCUCAAAACGGGUGGUAAAUUCCAUCUAAAGCUAAAUAUGGGCGAAAGACCGAUAGCGAACAAGUACCGUGAGGGAAAGAUGAAAAGCACUUUGAAAAGAGAGUUAAACAGUACGUGAAAUUGUUGAAAGGGAAACGCUUGAAGUCAGUCGCGUCUCUUGGGACUCAGCCCGGUUUCGGUCGGGUGUAUUUCCUAAGGUGACGGGCCAGCAUCGAUUUUGACCGUCGGAGAAAGGCCUAGGGAAUGUGGCACCCUCGGGUGUGUUAUAGCCUUUGGUCGUAUGCGACGGUUGGGAUCGAGGAUUGCAGCACGCCUUCUCGGCCGGGGUUCGCCCACGUUCGUGCUUAGGAUGCUGGCGUAAUGGCUUUAAGCGACCCGUCUUGAA